GACAGAGGGUGCAAACGUUGUUCGGAAUUACUGGGCGUAAAGCGCGUGUAGGCGGUCCGCUAAGUCGGGUGUGAAAGCCCUGGGCUCAACCCAGGAAGUGCACUCGAAACUGGCGGGCUAGAGUAUCGGAGAGGUUGGUGGAAUUCUCGGUGUAGAGGUGAAAUUCGUAGAUAUUCGCAAGAACACCAGUGGCGAAGGCGGCUCACUGGCCCGGUACUGACGCUGAGGUGCGAAAGCGUGGGGAGCAAACAGG
RNAcentral lists this ribosomal RNA (253 nucleotides) under uncultured bacterium. RNAcentral's name for it is "partial 16S ribosomal RNA". It matches the Rfam family "Bacterial small subunit ribosomal RNA", at positions 524 to 776 of the family's 1533-position model. The record is from RNAcentral.